Molecule: ribosomal RNA, 372 nt
Filed under: Aurospio sp. 249 PB
Lineage: Eukaryota; Metazoa; Annelida; Polychaeta; Spionida; Spionidae
Description: partial 16S ribosomal RNA
Rfam family: Bacterial large subunit ribosomal RNA (bases 42-372)
Source: RNAcentral
CGAAAACGCAACUUUCUUAUCGAGGAAAAUAAAAAUUAACCUUCAAGUGAAGAGACUUGAGUACCAUAAAAAGACGAAAAGACCCUAUGGAGCUUUACUUAAGUUAUUAAACCACAAAUAAAAAAAGCUUUUUUUACUAAAAAAGUUUAGUUGGGGCGACUAAGGAGCACACACCACCCUCCUACUGACAAAAGACUCUAAAUCUACAAAAGAUCCACAAACGUGAAUAAAAAUCCAGCUACCCUAGGGAUAACAGGCUAAUCCUCCUUAAGAGCUCAAAUUGACAGGAGGGCUUGGCACCUCGAUGUUGGCUUAAGAUCUCUACUAAGUGCAGCAGCUUAGGUAGUAGGUUUGUUCAACCUUUAAAAUCUU